AAAGCCAGUCUCUCAAAUUUUUAACCCUAAAAUUCUCCCGCCUCUCCAUUUUCAUCGCCAUUCUAAAUUAUUUUAUUAAUCCAAAUCAGCAUUCCCAAUCUUUGAAUUACAAUUGAAAGGAAUCAGGACUUCUAAUGUUUGAAAGGUAAAUCGUCAUCAUGCAGAGACUUAAAUUAGGGUUUCCAUUUUGUAAGAAUUUCUCUCUUGUUUUGUAUUCUUGUUUCUGCUUUUUGUCGUUAAAUUCGAUAUACGUAAGUCAUAGAAAGCAUCAUAUGUUAUUUAAUUUGCGAAUUCAUUGCAGUAGCGACAAAUUGAGAUACAUGGACACAGAUAACUACUUCAUCUUGCUUGCUUCAUUAGUUUGAGCCUAUAUUUAUUAUUCUUAUUCACCUUUUUCUUUUUUUCUCUUUCUAAUACAUGCGUCUGCAUCUUCUUUUUAGCAUAUGCUCGAGCUGAUGUAUAUUUGUCGUAUAACUGAGUCUUUUGCUUCAACGGAGCUUUAGAUUCUUCAGCAAGUGCCUGUUAGGAGAAAGAAAGGAAAGGAAAGAUAAAUCAGAAACUUUUGAAAACUAUUAAUCAUAGAAGGAGGUACUUAGUAAUAUAUUGUUGCAUUAAGAUAAGUUUACGAGGAAGGAAUGAGUGAAAUCAUGCCCUUUUCCACCAAAUAAAGGAAAAUAUUAUGUGCCUAAAUAAUUUUGAAUUGUUGAAUAUGGGUGAGUUUUCUCUCAAAUUGGCAGAUUACCUUUACUCCCCAAGCCAAAAUUCUACCCGAAUCCCCAGCCAAUUGCUGCCUACUUACAAAUUAGUUUCUUUGGGGAGUUAAGCUCCCAAACCGACCAACAUACACUCAUUGAUGCACUAGGGUUUUUUUUUUCUAAAUUUUUUAUUGAAGCAUGGAUGCUGCCAAAAGGUUAUGCUAGCUAGAUCCAAGCAGUUUCACGAGGAAAGGCUGGAGAUAAAUGAUGGGUUACAGAGGAAUGUAAAGAUCUAUUAAAAAAAUGGUGUUGCAUCGGAUAGUCAUCCUCAUCAAAGCAACAAGCACUGGCUACUUUACUAUUGUUUAUAACAUUGGGAGGUCUGUGCUCCAAAGUGUAUGACCAAGUACAUGUGAUCUAAAAUAAGUAGGAUUAGAUUUCAUGUGGGCUUUCUUUCAGAAAGUUGAGUAGAGUAUAGACACUCUUCAUAUAAAAAAAUGAAAAGAAUAAAAUAUUGGGGAAGGCAGUUAGGCGAUCGUGGUUGAUUGUAUCUAACCCAAAAUGGAAGGGGAGCUUGGUUCCACAACUUCACAAGAAAUGUGGAUAAGUAACAAGCCCUCCAUUUUCUUACUAAAUGCUGGAGAUGAGGAAUGAGGAGUUAUAUAGCAUGCAGUGGAUAUUUGGAUUUGAAAUUUGGAUGUCUUUCGAAUAAGUUUGUAAAGAUUUUUAUUUGCUUAUAAAUUGGAUUUACAUGCAUUUCCCCAUACUUGAGAAAUGAGAACUUGACUCAAAGGACAUGCUCAUCCAUGUGAAAGAGUGGUAAGUAUGAUGGGAUGGCAAUAGUAUGGGGGAUCACAAUGAGCAGAAACUUUGGAUAUUAUUUCCGUAAUCAUGAUUCAUUGCGCUAUUGACUCCCUUACCCUGCCAUGGACCUUUUAACUUGUAGAUCACAUUGUGGCUGUCUUAUUUGGCUCCAGGGAAAAAGGGCCACAUUUUUAUUGAACAGUUAUGAUUUUUUCUCAGAUAGAGAUUUAGACUGUGGAUAAAAAUAUAUAGUGGUAAGGCAAGAACUAAGCUGAAUUUUAAAGGGGUUAUUUUGUUCAAAGUAAUGAGAGAAAAGUUACCAGUAUCUUACCUUUGUUCAUCAACACUUCCUCCGCUGCUACUCCCAGUUGACCUGUAAAUGGGUAGAGGGACUUGGCCGUUUUCUAUAUGCAUGACAUCCUGUUCCAGGAUCUCAUAGUGUCUCUUUACUUCCUCAGCAGAUUUCCCACCCACAGCCUUGGCUAUAUUUGCCCAGCGGUCAGGAGUGUUCUUGUCGUACAGAGCCAGGGCUUCUUCAAAUAGUUUGUUUUGCUUCUGUGUCCAAGAGGAGCUUGAAUAACAUGAAGAGGAGAAAGCAUGGGAUGCCAUUACUAUAUUGAUGGGGGAAUGAAAUAAGAACUAUAGAAGCUGGAAUAAUAAGGUCAUAGAAGAGUUGGGUGAAUAUGAAGAAAAAGUAGAUGAAGGUGAGAAGGCGACAGUAUACUGAGUAUUGAAGUUGGAGAUGUAAGAGGAAAAGAACUCACAGAAGGGAAACAAAGAAAAGGAAUAACUGCCUCAGUCAAGGAAAAAGACCCUAGUCAAGAGAUGGUGUGGCAAAGAGAUUGCCAUGCUUGCUCUUUAUAAGGGAGGAGAAAGUGGUAGAGUUGAUUGAGCAAGUUGGUGAAUAUUUUUUUAACAGUACAGCAAAAUGCGAUUCUCCAUCUUAGAAAUCUCAAAAUGAAGCAAGGCUAGGAAGGACAAGAUGAGGAGGAGAAUAUGUGUCAAAGCCCGAAAAGACCAGCACUUUAUAUAUAUAUAUUUGAAAGUCCUUUUCUUGUCUUUUACAAUCUCAUCAGCAAGUGGAUUUCCUAGAGAAUUUACCAGCUAGUGGGGAUUAGAUCCCAAAUCCCAAUUCCUAGCCUAGCCAUUAAACGAUGUGCUAACAAAAUGAAUCCCUGCCCCAGCUUUUCAAACCGACAAAAAAUACAAUAAAAUAUUCUUCCAUCUUUUGUUGGGAAUGGGAUUUUCUGUGUUUGCUUAUCACAUCAACUUGGUAGGAUGAUAUUCAAAUUGAAGAAAAAUCCAAGCUGCUCUAUUUUGAUCAUUAUCUUCUGCCACUAUUGAGGAGGGAAGGUUGGUUGGGUUGAUGAUCCGCUUCCUCUUCCUUGUUCUACCUUCUAUGUCCUCUGCAUGUUACAGUCAAACACCUAAAGUCUGUUGCUAUAUUCCCCCAUGAAAGUAGUGGUUGUGUGGUUUCUUUCCAUCAGGAAGAAAGACUCCUAAUUUUAUUUUAUAAGUUCUUCUAGUUUUCUGAGGUUUAUAUGGAAAUGAUAUUUGAGACAUAGAAAUGUUGUUUUAUCAUCCUCUGGGCAACAUUCCAUGGGCUUCUUGCCAGUUAGUUAGCUGAGACCAGCAGUAGUGAUAUUUUAUUUUGUAGCUCAAUCAGCCGAAGGUGAACAGGUGUCUCUUUUAGGAGAUCUAAUUUCAGGUCUUGGGCUAGUCAAGCAGCUAGGUUUUCUCACAACUUGAUGUUAUUCCCUGCAAAUCACAUCAGCAGUGCUUGGGGAAAGUAUUCCCCCUCCAUGAAGACUUUUAUUUCCAUUUCCAGUAAUGAUUUUUCAAGUUGAUAUCACCAUAUCUACAGGAAAAAAUUCCUUCCUGCUUUACUGUGUGUUUUGAAUCGCUAAACUUGCCCUUGGUUAAUUUAUUGAUAUAUUUAUUUAUUUAUUUUUGGGGUAAAAGAUUCAAGGAAUUGGGUUGGGCAGGGUUCAUUAUGAUCUUGUUCUUAUGCAUGCAAGACUACCGGUAGAAAUUAAGGGUCUGUUUGGUUAUUGUUCUAGAAAAUAAUUUUUUAGAAUAGUUUUUAAGAAUAACUUUAUUUUCAGAAAAAAAAAAAAUUGUACUUGGAAACUGAAUUUUGAAAAAUGAUUUUUAUUCUGAAAAAUAAAGAAAAUAUGUUUGAUUGAGUUAAUAAAAAAAACUUUUUAGAAUAAGUAAAACAAAAAACAUGUUUGAAAGUUUUUUUUGUUUUUAAUUAAUAAAGUAUUUUCUUCGAUUAACUCGAUAUUAUAAAUAUAUAAAUAAUUUUUAUAUGUAUAAUUAAUUUAAAUUAAAAAAAUUGUUCCAUUUUGAAAAUUGUACACUAGUUAUAAUUUUCUUAAAUAAAUGAUGACUUUGUAAUUAUGUGUAAUUAUAUUAAUUUUAGUAAUUUUCUUAAAAAACUAAUUGCCUUAAACUUUUUGGGGAUCCAACAAUCCCUCUUUGACUUGUGUAGGGCAAUAUGUGAGAGAGUGGAAACUUUUUGGGGAGCCAUUUUUUUUUAUUAGUUAUAGAUACUGCAUGUCAUCGACAAAUAAAUUAAGGAAGAAGAAAGACCUUAGGGGUGAGGGUGUGAUAGUUGGAUGGAGCUCACUUUCGUUUCCUAUUGGAGACCAUUGGAGGAGAAACCAACAAAGAUAGGAAAACACAAAAAGCAGUUAGGAAACACAAAAAGAAGAAAAAGAAAAUACGAAGAACAAUCUGUUCUUUAAACAAUGAAAAAACAAUAAAAAUAUCUUUUUAUUGUUCUAAAGAAAGUGGUCUUUUGAGAACACGGAAAACACAGAAAACAAAAAGUAUCGCCUUCCCCAAACAUAUUUUUAGUGUUUUUUGUUUUCAAGAACAAAAAAUAAUUAUUGAAAUAACAACCAAACAAGCCUUAAAUUUUUUGUAUUUCAGUACUUAGGUUUUCUGUUUCAAUUGUUUAGAGAGGGGAGGAGAAACCAACAAAGAUAGGGAAACACAAAAAGAAGAAAAAGAAAACAUGAAGAACAAUCUGUUCUUUAAACAUUGAAAAACAAUAAAAAUAUCUUUUUAUUGUUUUAAAAAAAGUAGUCUUUUGAGAACACGGAAAACACAGAAAACAAAAAGUACUGUCUUCCCCAAACAUAUUUUUAGUGUUUUUUGUUUUUAAGAACAAAAAAUAAUUAUUGAAAUAGCAACCAAAUAGGGUCUAAAUUUUUUGUAUUUCAGUACUUAGGUUUUCUGUUUCAAUUGUUUAGAGAGGGCUUAAAUUCUAUAUUGCGAUUUCACCCAGCUAUUUUGUGGUUGACUAUAUUUUUCCUCAUGCUGGAGCUUGUACCCAUGACAAAGUUCUACUAUUUGAAGAUAUUACAGUCAUGAUAUUGAAGCUCCUACAGUUGACUCACAACUCUGCUCUUUUUAACUUGAUUUUCACUAAUUUGGGUGGACAGACUACAUGGUACUAAACUUAAUUUAUAUUUCCAAAUAACUCAAUAAAAUUGUGCAUUUAACUCAUUGAGUUAAGAAUCAUCAGAACUAAAAUAAACUUAUACAAACUAUUUACAGUUGUUCUUAUAAAAGUCAGGGGGAGAUGGAGACAGCAAGGAGAUUCCUUUGGUAGAGAACCUGGUGACUGGUGGAUUAUUUGCGUGGUUCUUCCUAGAAUAUCCUAUUACAGCUUUUUACCCUUUUGUAAAGCUAAAUGCAGUACUGAAUUGGUGUCCUUAGCUGUGGUCCUGCGUAGCUAUUCAUGGUUUGAGAGUGUCUGGGCUCUGUGACAUGAUUUAGGGUGGACUUUGUGGGGUGAUGUGGGGGACCAUAUGGCCAAAUUGAGCCCAUUACAGCAUCAAUUCUAAGAGCCUCCGUGGAGGGACAUUCAAAGCUUUUCUUUCUUAGAAUGAGUUCACUUCACUUGUUUGCAGGUGGGCCCAAAUAUUUGUUUUAGAAUUUUAGUUUUUGAAGUUGCAAAAUAACUCUACUGUCAUGAACCAGCCCAAAUGAAUCGUUUUGGGUGCAGGGUACGGUUAUUUAUUCUGUAAACUUUUUUGUAUAAAUCAAUGGCUAUGGCUUUUGUUGUGAAAAAUCACGGCAAAGAACAAUAAUAGGGAGAAGAAAAUAAGAGAAAAUACACAAAGCACAUAAUGAUUUAUGCUAUUCUGCCUAGAGACUACAUUCAUGGACAAGACGAAGAAGAGCUUCAACUAUUUUUCAAAGAGAUUACAAGUCUAGAGCUUACAAAUCCCAAAACCGCAAUUGCACCCAAAAAAGGGACACUUUUUCAAUUAGAAUUUCUAAUAUUUUACGUAGGAAACAAAUUGUAUGGUUGUUAGAGAUGGUUAUUCCUAAAAGAAUAUCAUAGGAUAUAUUCUUUAUUUUAAUAGGAAAGUCUCUUGCAUGAAUAGAUCUUAUUAGGAAAAUGUCAAUGACUCAAAAUAGGAAUUGUGAGACUUUUCAACAGGUUUUUGGCAAUUGAUGAAGGUGUGGUCAUUGGUAACAUGAUGCAAUGUAUAAUUUGGAUGCUGUUAAUGCACAUAUUUACCUGAUUAUUUAUUUAUUUAGUUUAGGUUUUUGGACCGGUGGAUUUUGUAUAACUUGUUUGGAAUUUAAAUGGUUACCUUGUAGUUUAGAUGGCGUUGGAAGAUUUAAGUUCAUCACUAUACAUGGGAGCAUUAAAGAAUAGAAGAAAUUACAGUUAUAGGAUAUGACUGAUAUAGCAAUUACAUUUAUGGGAUAUGACUAAUAUUUGGAUUCCAUUGCAGGUGCUUUUUCAAAUUUUUACAGUCAUGAUAGCUAGAAUAUCAUGAUUGAAGCAAUUCCAUCUUCAAUGGGCCACUAUGCCCUCCUUUAGGAGAUUGGUUCAUUUUCUUUGCUAUUUCUUGUGAUCUAUACCACUGUUUCGUGUCAUUCAUGAUGUGUGUGAAAUGAAAGCUUUCCUUUUCCCACAGGUUUCGCUCUAGCUCGAACCAGCCUGACGGGUUACCAAAAGAGAAUAAAGAAAUUGCUUAUGUCAUUGUUAUGGAUCUAUUUAAUCAAGUUGGUUGGCUCUACCUUGGCUUCAGAUAACCGCCCACCUGCUGAAGGAGGGCCUGUCUCGUAGAUGAUGUUGAGGUAAAUGCACUGAGAAUCUGCAAAAAAAUAUAUCUUUGCUUUGAUGUUUAGAAUCCUUAUCAUAUCAAAGUCUAUCGCAUGGAAUGUCACAUUUACACGGGUUCCUUAUUUUCGUGUAGAAACCGUGUUUCUUUUGAUGUGUGGUCCUUUCUGAUGAUUGGAACUAUUAGUUGACCCUAGUUAUUUGAGGGUUAGAUGUUUUAAAAUGACCAUCAACAAAUUUCCAAGCUUAUAAUUAACAUUAAAUUCUCUGGUUUAAAGGAUAAAUAGUCAGGAAACUUCCGGCUUUGGGUAGCUAAGAGACUACCCUUUCAUGGUCCAAUCAUCUGCUAGCUAAACAUGAGGACCUCGCUAAGAUGGAAUCUUUCAAAAGGGGAAAAAACAAGUGGAAACAUUUUCAAAAGUUGAAUCUACUUGAAGAAAAGAGUACCAAAGGGGUAUUUUUUUGGUGGUGGAUGGUCCAAAAG
RNAcentral lists this long non-coding RNA (7075 nucleotides) under Vitis vinifera (wine grape). Its description in RNAcentral is "long non-coding RNA (VVIN_LNC006066)". The record is from RNAcentral. Lineage: Eukaryota; Viridiplantae; Streptophyta; Magnoliopsida; Vitales; Vitaceae.